UACGGGGGGAGCAAGCGUUGUUCGGAAUUACUGGGCGUAAAGGGCGCGUAGGCGGUUUGGUAAGUGAGAUGUGAAAUCCUCCGGCUCACCCGGAGACAUGCAUCUCAUACUGCUUGACUAGAGUACGGAAGAGGAAUCGGGAAUUCCAGGUGUAGCGGUGAAAUGCGUAGAUAUCUGGAGGAACACCGGUGGCGAAGG
This 198-nucleotide ribosomal RNA is filed under the name uncultured prokaryote. RNAcentral's name for it is "partial 16S ribosomal RNA". It matches the Rfam family "Bacterial small subunit ribosomal RNA", at positions 524 to 721 of the family's 1533-position model. The record is from RNAcentral.